GAUGAACGCUGGCGGCGUGCCUAAUACAUGCAAGUCGAGCGAACGCACCAGAUGCUUGCUCCUCUGAUGUUAGCGGCGGACGGGUGAGUAACACGUGGAUAACCUACCUAUAAGACUGGGAUAACUUCGGGAAACCGGAGCUAAUACCGGAUAAUAUUUCGAACCGCAUGGUUCACAAGUGAAAGACGGUCUUGCUGUCACUUAUAGAUGGAUCCGCGCUGCAUUAGCCAGUUGGUAAGGUAACGGCUUACCAAGGCAACGGUGCAUAGCCGACCUAAGGGGGUAAUCGGCCACACUGGAACUGAGACACGGUCCAGACUCCUACGGGAGGAAGGAGUAGGAAAUCUUCCGCAAUGGGCGAAGGCCUAACGGAGCAACGCCGCGUAAGUGAUGAGGGUCUUCGGAUCGUAAAACUCUGUUGUUGGGAAGAAACAGAUGUGUAAGAAACUGUGCACAUCUUGACGGAACCUACCAAGAAAGCCCCGCCUAAUUACUU
This 496-nucleotide ribosomal RNA is filed under the name uncultured bacterium. Its description in RNAcentral is "partial 16S ribosomal RNA". It matches the Rfam family "Bacterial small subunit ribosomal RNA", at positions 28 to 506 of the family's 1533-position model. The record is from RNAcentral.